Vicugna pacos (alpaca) is the source of this 744-nucleotide non-coding RNA. The record is from RefSeq and is a predicted model, not a curated record. Lineage: Eukaryota; Metazoa; Chordata; Mammalia; Artiodactyla; Camelidae.
CUAUUAUAAUAGUAUAUUCUUAAUUUUGUCCCAAUUAUUAUAUGCAUCUUAGGUGACUUCCUAGGAUAUAGCAGUAUCACCCAAGGAGGGAACUUGAAUAGAAGAAAAGUGCUUUUAGCAUGAGGUCUGGAGGAAUGCCAGCAAUGAAAGUGAACAUGAAGUAAGAGGCACUGAGACACCGAUCUGAAGGCACUGAUGGGAGCAAUAGAAGAGGAGAAAGAGAGUGGAGCCUGCACCCAACACCCUUGGCCUUUCAGCACACUGGCCGCAGGAAAAGUGGUGGCAGCUUACUAUGGCCAGUGCAGCUGUGCACAAACGGAAGAAGGCGCACAGCCCAGGACAGAGAGAGAAGGGGGAUGUGCACAUCCUUGAAAAAGCCUGAGACUCUCCAGCUGGCUGCUGGUGAGGCCCUGUCCCUGUGAAAGCCAGUGUGUAAAGGCUAGGGGAGGCAUCUGUUUCUACAAGCAUGCAGACACAAAUGUAAAACUGGGAGAUACAUGGAGAGUAAAGAAAUAUGACCCAACUAGAAAACAAAUCUCUAGCGACCAAGACUAAAGAAAUGGAGAUUUAUGAAUUUCCUGAAAAAUAAUUCAAAAUAAUCAUCUUCAAGAAGCUACAUCUUAAAGAUGCUUUUAUGAGUUACAAAAUAACAUGUAUACACAACUAAACAAAAUCAGGGAAAUGAUACAUUAAAAAUGUGAAUAUCAAGGAAGAGAAAGAAGGCAUUAAAAAAGAAAAAAAAAG